Passer domesticus (house sparrow) is the source of this 2569-nucleotide long non-coding RNA. RefSeq lists it as uncharacterized. The record is from RefSeq and is a predicted model, not a curated record. Lineage: Eukaryota; Metazoa; Chordata; Aves; Passeriformes; Passeridae. The transcript is spliced from 3 exons.
CCCCGGGCCUCCUCCACACGGCCUGCCUGCGAGGGCAGCCACCGCAGGAACUGAAACAGCCUGGAAAACCCCUUCAACCAAACCGCCAUGCUACAGAACAUUCUGGAGUUGUGGACUUGAAGGUUUGAUGGUUCUAAAAAACUGGAGGUGAAAGAAUGGGGAGGAUACCCAGCCAGGACAGUACUAAGGACAGGACUCUUUCCUUGGCUUAGGGGAUGGUAUGGACAGUUGUCUUUGUACCAAAAGAAAGCAAUAUAGGACCAAAAAUUCAAGACCUACUGCCUCAUUUGACAGACAGUGGAGACAUGUCAACAGUAAAGACACUCAAGCAUUUGGCAAGAAAAAAAUCAGUAAACUGUACAUGCCAAAUCUUCUACAGCUCCAGCAGUGUUCAUGCUCAUUCAUCACGACUGGACUAACACCCUACAAGGAGCAUGCUGAUCCUUGUGAAGAGCACAGGAGCACAAGUACCACACCAGCAGUGAGAAGAUGCAGGUUACUGAAUGGCCCAGCAGAGAAAGUCACUCAUGUUUGCUUGGCAUGCAAAUCACAUAUGGUCACACAGCCACACUGAUAACAAAGCCCAGAGAAAUUGAACAAAUGUGGAGGAAAGAAAUAGAAUAAUUUUCUCUAGAAUGCUUUAUUUGUGAACCACAGGAGUAAAAGGCAUUGUUGCUUCUUUUAUCAGGCACCCACUAGCAUUGACCCAGUCAGUAUUGCCUCACUAAAUUAAUGAAAUGAUUGCAAGUAAUAUUCAGAAGGAGUUUUGCUCAAGUUGCACAUCUUGCUGCCACAUCAAAUAUAACAAUGUGUGCUCCCUCAAAUAAUUACACUGUGCUCAUCCAUGCAGAAAUCUAAAAGCUCCCAACAAGCUUCUAUCUGUAAUUAAUAUUUCAAUAUAAAUUAUGAAUUUCUGGUAAGUCAUUUGAGCAACAUAUUGGCCUGCUUAUAAACUAUGUUCUAUUUAUUUGGCAUGUUCUAGAUGAAUACAAAUUGUGAACAAAAAGCCUUUUGUUGUCAAGCUCUACAAACGUGGAUUCAGUUACCAGCCGACUUAAGAACAAUUGAGAGCUUUUCCCUCUGCACAUCUGAAAACAGCACCAACAAUACCUCAUGACUGAAAGUUAUUGUACAUGUUUUAAUUGCUAUUUGCUUAGCUAUAUUCAUGAAUUGUUUGCUCUCAUGAUGUUUUCACUCAAAUCACAAAGCUUUUUAACUGCAUAUGAAUUUUGUGUCAAAAUCCUGAGCUCAUCUUCAAAAAAAAAAGUCUCUUUAAAAAAAAACCUCUCAACAGGACUAACUAGUCAUGUUUCUGCAGGAUGUGGUCACAGACAAAUAUUGACAUGUCCUGUUCCGUCUGCUUACAGAACAAAGCUUUUAAAAAUUCCAAUAAUGUAGGUAAUAAAAGAAUUAAGAGAUUUUAAAAAUUAAAUAAGACAUCCCAAGGAAGAAACCACCAAGUCAGCACAAUUCAGCUAAGGUAAGACUCAUAUACAUCACUUUAAUGAAUUCAUCAUUCAGUAGACAUCAAGACACAAAUACUCUCAUUACUUUGACUAAACAAACAUACAUUGAAACACGAGAAAGAGUAUUUUUAGCUAUUAAAUAUACAGGGGAAAAAAAGACCAAGAUUUUCCUUAUGUAUCUUUUUUAUCUAUGCUAGUAGUUUUAUCUACUUGUAGAAAAGAACCAAGAUCUUUGUUUUAAAAUUAGAUUUGUAUACAAAAGCCUCAAAAAAGACAAACAGAAUAAGCACACAGAGAAUUUAUUCACCCAAUGCCAGGAUAAAAUCUUGACUACUUCCUCAAGUUAAAUGACAGCAAGUAACACUUCAAAACAUUUUGGAAAAAUUAAACUACAAAAAAAAUAUACUUUUCUGUGUUUACUUCUCAGACAAAGGUGACUUGCAAUGGGAUGUUCUUCACCACAUUAGUAAGAUGUGCUGACAAUGCAAAAAGCUUUUUGGGUUUAGAGUAAAGCCAAUAUACCUAGCUUCUUCCUUCUUCAGCUUUUCUAAUUCUUUACACAAUACACUAGUUUGAGAGUAAAGUCAAAUUGCGCAGUCUUCUCAGCUGGACCUACGUACAUGUAAAACCUGCUCGAAAAAGCAGUUUCACAUACUGAAGCAGGAGCCAGAACUGAGCAGCUAUAUGCCUCCUUCCUCUUAAAGAUGUUCUCUCCUUCUCUGGCUCACAAAGUGAACAACCAGGGACAGAGAUAAAAAAAACCUGCAGCUUUCACAUCUGGUCAAAAGGCUCCUUUUGUCUCAUCUACUAAACAAGGAGAAGUGUGAAGUGUUCCAUAGGAGCAGCUAUUAGAGACUAGACUAUGUAAAUAAACAUUUCAGUUGAGAGGUAACAGAAUACAGAAGUAAUGCACUAUCAUACAGUGAAACUGAAUUGUCACAGGCAACCAUUUAGCAUAACAAAUUAGGAUCACAGAAAACUAUUUCAUAGAAUAGAUUACAGUCAACCAUUCCUUGUCAGAAGUUAGGGCUUCCUGAGAUACACUGAGCCUUGCAAGUCUUCCAAAACCCUCAAAGCAGAGAAUACUAACUACAACAUAACCA